Long non-coding RNA from Saccostrea cuccullata (small rock oyster), 565 nucleotides. RefSeq lists it as uncharacterized. The transcript has 3 exons. The record is from RefSeq and is a predicted model, not a curated record. NCBI's taxonomy places the organism in Eukaryota, Metazoa, Mollusca, Bivalvia, Ostreida, Ostreidae.
GCGCAUUUUCAUGUUGCCGAUUUAAAAGAAAAGCCUUUGCAUCAUAUAAGCAAUAAAAAUAAGUGCUGGACUAUUAACUCUAUACUCGCUACCGACAUUUCCAUCUUCAUGAUUAACAUCUGAGUUGCAUUCAAAUUACCAAAUUCAAAAGACCCGCCUUUGGUGAAGAGAAAAUUUGUGGUGCUUAUAUACACAUAUAUAAAGAGCUUAUAUCAGAGGAUAGACUCCUUCAUUGGGAGCCCUUUCAGUAUUUGUGAUUCUGAAUAAUAGAUCCACAACUCUGCUCAUUCUGUAGUGAACAAAUGUUGUAAUUAUAUGCUUUCGCGGAAUCAUAAAUAAGCAGUGAUAUCAAUGAGUUCCGGAUUAUUCUUUAAGAAGAAUGGAUUUCUGUGAUUCUGUUCUUAUAAAAUUCAGUGAAUAGUUUGGAUAAUGUUUUAUAUUUAAAUCGUCAUAUUAUUAAGGAAGAUCAUUUGUUGGGAUUAUAUUUAUAUGACGUCAUGGCUCAUGUGAAAUAUGUGUAUAAUAUUUUUCUUAAUUUUUGGUAACUGAAAUUAUUUAUCAAAUA